RNAcentral lists this small RNA (475 nucleotides) under Arabidopsis thaliana (thale cress). RNAcentral's name for it is "ATSL275690". The record is from RNAcentral. Lineage: Eukaryota; Viridiplantae; Streptophyta; Magnoliopsida; Brassicales; Brassicaceae.
UUUCAAAGCCAUUGAGAACAUGUAGAAGGCACUCAGCUGCACAACAUCCACUAGUGUAAUCACUAGAGACAAUCUGCGAGAAGACCUGCCAUCCAUGCGUCAUGACACUGCCCCGCCAAGGCAAUCUGCUUAUCAACAGAGAGAACGAGUUGCCACGCAAGAAACCGCAUGACACUCGUCUCAAGACGUAAGGGAGAAGAAAAGAAGGAACAACGCUCGGAUGGUCCGCUCAUCAAGCAAAGACCAGAUAAUGUCGGGCCGGAGAACACACGAACGUCGUGCUCCACAACCUGCUGGGAUUGCGAUCGAGCACAAUGACGAGGAGAUGGUGGAGCCGCAUCAAGAAUCGGUCAUGCAUGCGGAGUACACUCAAGCAGAUAUGGAUGACUACAUCUCGAGGACAUUCUACUGAGGUAACACACGAAAACCCUUUGUAAAUACCGCUUUUGUUUUUGUUUUUGUGUUUAUUUUCAAU